UCCAAGCAAGUAUGGAAGCUAUCAGAGCUAUGUUCCCCUGCAGAGACGCCUUUGGAUAUUGUCUUCUUUCUCUAGCAGAUCUAAGGAUUGCCUAUCCCCAGCAGGCCUAGAAGUGGGUUUAUUCCCCAGCGAAUAUUUCCCCAGUUGAGAUUCCCACUGAGUAUGAAGGAUGUGGUAUCCCCAGCGGAGGUAUCAGUGGAGUGUUGUUCCCCAGCAGUCGGGUUUGAAGUACUGUUAUCCCCAGCGUGGUCGUGAGCGCUCAUCCCUAG
Molecule: long non-coding RNA, 269 nt
Filed under: Lathyrus oleraceus (garden pea)
Lineage: Eukaryota; Viridiplantae; Streptophyta; Magnoliopsida; Fabales; Fabaceae
Description: Pisum sativum (pea) long non-coding RNA (PSAT_LNC016142)
Source: RNAcentral